GCCAGAGGAUGUGAGAUAUAAUUAUAGAGAGAGACUUGAGGAAUUUUGGUUGCAAUUAUUUGGCUUUUAGCCUUUCAUUUCUUAUUCACGAAUGAAAGAAACUGAUCUUCACGAAUCAAUUUAAAGUGGAAACUGAAAAUUUGAAUCCAGUAUAAAGACUUUCAGAUACUUCAAAGAUAUUCUUGGUCCUCUUUGUUCUCGAAGAAGCUCCUUGAGUUAACUGUAUACAAUCGUGUCUGAUUUGCUAAAUUUUUAUGACUUUCUUUUACAAUCUUUAGAGGAAUCAAUACUUUAUUGUUUGUUAGAUAUCAUCUAAUGUCUUUGUUUGAAAGCAAGACUUUCAUCAAACAGGUAAGAAUCCCAAUGGGGCCUCCUGAAAGUGACAUCUCCUCAUGCUGCUCUCGCAUCAAGUCAUUCAACCGGUGCCAUUAUAUAUAUUAAGGACUGCGAAGAAGACUAAUUACAACAUUGUAAAUGUAUCACUUUUAGUCAAUAUGUAAAUAUUAUCCAUGGAUUUAAAGAAUAUGUCACCUUGCAAGGCAACAUUCAAGGAGGGAUAUAUAUUUGUUCCUCUAUGUAUGUAAAUAAAUAACGUCCAAUAGUUAAUAUGCAAUGUCCUCUUUAUCCAAUUUGAUAGUUA
Nicotiana tabacum (common tobacco) is the source of this 640-nucleotide non-coding RNA. The record is from RefSeq and is a predicted model, not a curated record. NCBI's taxonomy places the organism in Eukaryota, Viridiplantae, Streptophyta, Magnoliopsida, Solanales, Solanaceae.